GACGAACGCUGGCGGCGUGCCUAAUACAUGCAAGUAGAACGCUGAAGCUUGGUGCUUGCACCGAGCGGAUGAGUUGCGAACGGGUGAGUAACGCGUAGGUAACCUGCCUGGUAGCGGGGGAUAACUAUUGGAAACGAUAGCUAAUACCGCAUAAUAGUAGAUGUUGCAUGACAUUUGCUUAAAAGGUGCAAUUGCACCACUACCAGAUGGACCUGCGUUGUAUUAGCUAGUUGGUGAGGUAACGGCUCACCAAGGCAACGAUACAUAGCCGACCUGAGAGGGUGAUCGGCCACACUGGGACUGAGACACGGCCCAGACUCCUACGGGAGGCAGCAGUAGGGAAUCUUCGGCAAUGGACGGAAGUCUGACCGAGCAACGCCGCGUGAGUGAAGAAGGUUUUCGGAUCGUAAAGCUUCUGUUGUAAGAGAAGAAACGAGUGUGAGAAGUGGAAA
RNAcentral lists this ribosomal RNA (452 nucleotides) under Streptococcus sp. oral taxon C08. RNAcentral describes it as "bacterial SSU rRNA". It matches the Rfam family "Bacterial small subunit ribosomal RNA", at positions 28 to 465 of the family's 1533-position model. The record is from RNAcentral. Lineage: Bacteria; Bacillati; Bacillota; Bacilli; Lactobacillales; Streptococcaceae.